Molecule: long non-coding RNA, 98 nt
Filed under: Homo sapiens (human)
Lineage: Eukaryota; Metazoa; Chordata; Mammalia; Primates; Hominidae
Description: H19
Source: RNAcentral
UCUGGCAGGAGUGAUGACGGGUGGAGGGGCUAGCUCGAGGCAGGGCUGGUGGGGCCUGAGGCCAGUGAGGAGUGUGGAGUAGGCGCCCAGGCAUCGUG